Molecule: long non-coding RNA, 229 nt
Filed under: Lathyrus oleraceus (garden pea)
Lineage: Eukaryota; Viridiplantae; Streptophyta; Magnoliopsida; Fabales; Fabaceae
Description: Pisum sativum (pea) long non-coding RNA (PSAT_LNC002756)
Source: RNAcentral
GAUGGUUAAGGGUAGAUUAUUUGUUGUAAAAAUUUUCACUUUUUUUAUUCUUUACUUGUCAUUUGACAGCGACGUUGUUUUUUCUCCGGUUUUGAAGUUUUCACGUCCUUGUGUUGUGAUUGUGUUCCCUUAUUUUCUUUAUGUCAGUGUUUUCCAACAAAUGUAUUCUGUAAGAAUAAAGGGUUUCUUGAAUUUUCUAUUAUUACCCUUUUAUAAAACUACCUUAUUU